This 84-nucleotide transfer RNA is filed under the name Cordylochernes scorpioides. RNAcentral's name for it is "tRNA-Thr". The record is from RNAcentral. Lineage: Eukaryota; Metazoa; Arthropoda; Arachnida; Pseudoscorpiones; Chernetidae.
UGAAGAGUAAUGGCGAACGGACAAGGCACCUGCCCGGUAAGCAGAAGGGUGUGGGUUCGAUUCCCGCCCCUGGACACUUUUUAU